RNAcentral lists this non-coding RNA (29 nucleotides) under Rattus norvegicus (Norway rat). The record is from RNAcentral. Lineage: Eukaryota; Metazoa; Chordata; Mammalia; Rodentia; Muridae.
UUAAAGAACAAGAAGCGGUGAUCUGAUUC